This 464-nucleotide ribosomal RNA is filed under the name uncultured bacterium. Its description in RNAcentral is "partial 16S ribosomal RNA". It matches the Rfam family "Bacterial small subunit ribosomal RNA", at positions 29 to 507 of the family's 1533-position model. The record is from RNAcentral.
ACGCACGCUGGCGGCGUGCUUCACCCAUGCAAGUCGUACGGUAAGGCCCUUUCGGGGGUACACGAGUGGCGAACGGGUGAGUAACACGUGAGUAACCUGCCCACAACUUUGGGAUAACGCUAGGAAACUGGUGCUAAUACUGGAUAUGUGCUCCUGCUGCAUGGUGGGGGUUGGAAAGCUCCGGCGGUUGUGGAUGGACUCGCGGCCUAUCAGCUUGUUGGUGGGGUAGUGGCCUACCAAGGCGGCGACGGGUAGCCGGCCUGAGAGGGUGACCGGCCACAUUGGGACUGAGAUACGGCCCAGACUCCGACGGGAGGCAGCAGGGGGGAAUAUUGCACAAGGGGCGCAAGCCUGAUGCAGCAACGCCGCGUGCGGGAUGACGGCCUUCGGGUUGUAAACCGCUUUCAGCAGGGACGAAGCUUUUUGUGACGGUACCUGCAGAAGAAGCACCGGCUAACUACGUG